AGAGUUUGAUCAUGGCUCAGAUUGAACGCUGGCGGCAUGCCUUACACAUGCAAGUCGAACGGCAGCGCGGGGCAACCUGGCGGCGAGUGGCGAACGGGUGAGUAAUAUAUCGGAACGUACCCUGGAGUGGGGGAUAACGUAGCGAAAGUUACGCUAAUACCGCAUACGAUCUAAGGAUGAAAGCAGGGGACCGCAAGGCCUUGUGCUCCUGGAGCGGCCGAUAUCUGAUUAGCUAGUUGGUGGGGUAAAGGCCUACCAAGGCAUCGAUCAGUAGCUGGUCUGAGAGGACGACCAGCCACACUGGAACUGAGACACGGUCCAGACUCCUACGGGAGGCAGCAGUGGGGAAUUUUGGACAAUGGGCGCAAGCCUGAUCCAGCAAUGCCGCGUGAGUGAAGAAGGCCUUCGGGUUGUAAAGCUCUUUUGUCAGGGAAGAAACGGUGCGGGCUAAUAUCCCGCGCUAAUGACGGUACCUGAAGAAUAAGCACCGGCUAACUACGUGCCAGCAGCCGCGGUAAUACGUAGGGUGCAAGCGUUAAUCGGAAUUACUGGGCGUAAAGCGUGCGCAGGCGGUUUUGUAAGUCUGACGUGAAAUCCCCGGGCUCAACCUGGGAAUUGCGUUGGAGACUGCAAGGCUAGAAUCUGGCAGAGGGGGGUAGAAUUCCACGUAGCAGUGAAAUGCGUAGAGAUGUGGAGGAACACCGAUGGCGAAGGCAGCCCCCUGGGUCAAGAUUGACGCUCAUGCACGAAAGCGUGGGGAGCAAACAGGAUUAGAUACCCUAGUAGUCC
RNAcentral lists this ribosomal RNA (789 nucleotides) under uncultured bacterium. Its description in RNAcentral is "bacterial SSU rRNA". It matches the Rfam family "Bacterial small subunit ribosomal RNA", at positions 8 to 796 of the family's 1533-position model. The record is from RNAcentral.